GAUGAACGCUGGCGGCGUGCCUAAUACAUGCAAGUCGAGCGAACGGACGAGAAGCUUGCUUCUCUGAUGUUAGCGGCGGACGGGGGAGUAAAACGUGGAUAACCUACCUAUAAGACUGGGAUAACUUCGGGAAACCGGAGCUAAAAACGGAUAAUAUUUUGAACCGCAUGGUGCAAAAGUGAAAGACGGUCUUGCUGUCACUUAUAGAUGGAUCCGGGCUGCAUUAGCUAGUUGGUAAGGUAACGGCUUACCAAGGCAACGAUGCAUAGCCGACCUGAGAGGGUGACCGGCCACACUGGAACUGAGACACGGUCCAGACUCCUACGGGAGGCAGCAGUAGGGAAUCUUCCGCAAUGGGCGAAAGCCUGACGGAGCAACGCCGCGUGAGUGAUGAAGGUCUUCGGAUCGUAAAACUCUGUUAUUAGGGAAGAACAUAUGUGUAAGUAACUGUGCACAUCUUGACGUUACCUAAUCAGAAAGCCACGGCUAACUCCGUG
Molecule: ribosomal RNA, 497 nt
Filed under: uncultured bacterium
Lineage: Bacteria
Description: partial 16S ribosomal RNA
Rfam family: Bacterial small subunit ribosomal RNA
Source: RNAcentral